GUUGGGUAGGGGAGCGUUCUGUAAGCCUGUGAAGGUGUGUCGUGAGGCAUGCUGGAGGUAUCAGAAGUGCGAAUGCUGACAUAAGUAACGAUAAAGCGGGUGAAAAGCCCGCUCGCCGGAAGACCAAGGGUUCCUGUCCAACGUUAAUCGGGGCAGGGUGAGUCGACCCCUAAGGCGAGGCCGAAAGGCGUAGUCGAUGGGAAACGGGUUAAUAUUCCCGUACUUGGUGUUACUGCGAAGGGGGGACGGAGAAGGCUAUGUUGGCCGGGCGACGGUUGUCCCGGUUUAAGCGUGUAGGUGUGUGUUCCAGGUAAAUCCGGUUCACUUUAACACUGAGGCGUGACGACGAGGCACUACGGUGCUGAAGCAACAAAUGCCCUGCUUCCAGGAAAAGCCUCUAAGCAUCAGGUAACAUCAAAUCGUACCCCAAACCGACACAGGUGGUCAGGUAGAGAAUACCAAGGCGCUUGAGAGAACUCGGGUGAAGGAACUAGGCAAAAUGGUGCCGUAACUUCGGGAGAAGGCACGCUGACACGUAGGUGAAGUGAUUUACUCAUGGAGCUGAAGUCAGUCGAAGAUACCAGCUGGCUGCAACUGUUUAUUAAAAACACAGCACUGUGCAAACACGAAAGUGGACGUAUACGGUGUGACGCCUGCCCGGUGCCGGAAGGUUAAUUGAUGGGGUCAGCGCAAGCGAAGCUCCUGAUCGAAGCCCCGGUAAACGGCGGCCGUAACUAUAACGGUCCUAAGGUAGCGAAAUUCCUUGUCGGGUAAGUUCCGACCUGCACGAAUGGCGUAAUGAUGGCCAGGCUGUCUCCACCCGAGACUCAGUGAAAUUGAACUCGCUGUGAAGAUGCAGUGUACCCGCGGCAAGACGGAAAGACCCCGUGAACCUUUACUAUAGCUUGACACUGAACAUUGAGCCUUGAUGUGUAGGAUAGGUGGGAGGCUUUGAAGUGUGGACGCCAGUCUGCAUGGAGCCGACCUUGAAAUACCACCCUUUAAUGUUUGAUGUUCUAACGUGGACCCGUGAUCCGGGUUGCGGACAGUGU
RNAcentral lists this ribosomal RNA (1052 nucleotides) under Salmonella enterica subsp. enterica. RNAcentral's name for it is "bacterial LSU rRNA". It matches the Rfam family "Bacterial large subunit ribosomal RNA", at positions 1223 to 2257 of the family's 2925-position model. The record is from RNAcentral. Lineage: Bacteria; Pseudomonadati; Pseudomonadota; Gammaproteobacteria; Enterobacterales; Enterobacteriaceae.